This 497-nucleotide ribosomal RNA is filed under the name uncultured bacterium. Its description in RNAcentral is "partial 16S ribosomal RNA". It matches the Rfam family "Bacterial small subunit ribosomal RNA", at positions 28 to 507 of the family's 1533-position model. The record is from RNAcentral.
GAUGAACGCUGGCGGCGUGCCUAAUACAUGCAAGUCGAACGAACAGACGCUGAUCUUGUUCGUUUCACGUUUGCCGCGCGCGGGAGAGUCACGCGUGGAUACCCCCCCUAUAUUACUGAGAUCACCACGAGAAAGCGGAGCUAAUACCGUAUGAUCUACUGAACCAUAUGGUUCAAUAGUGAAAGACGGCUUUGCGGUCUCUUCUAGAUGCUUCCGGGCUGCAUUAGCUAGUUGGUAAGGUAACGGCCUACCAAGGCAACGAUGCGUAGCCGACCUGCGAGGGGGAUCGGCGACCCUGGAACUGAGACACGGUCCAGACGACUACGGGACGCAGCAGUAGGGAACCUGCCGCAGUGGGCGAAAGCCUGACGGAGUAACGCCGCGUGAGUGACGAAGGCGUUCGGAUCGUAAUGCUCUGUUAUUGGGGAAGAACAGAUGUCGACGUAAAUAUGCAGGGCUUGACGGUAACUAGUCAGAAAGCCACGGCUAACUACGUG